Halichondria panicea is the source of this 667-nucleotide long non-coding RNA. RefSeq lists it as uncharacterized. The transcript is spliced from 6 exons. The record is from RefSeq and is a predicted model, not a curated record. NCBI's taxonomy places the organism in Eukaryota, Metazoa, Porifera, Demospongiae, Suberitida, Halichondriidae.
UUGGCAGCAACUCCCUCCACCUUCUACAAAAAAUGCCUCGUUUCGAAACACUGGAUGGUAGCAGUUUGAUGUCUGUCCUGCUGUAGCCAUGCAGGGACUCGGCCAGGGAGUAGCAGUCCAUGCACCUCAGAAUAGUUGGGGAUAGAGUCCCUUUGGGAAGCCGAUGUGUAUUCCCAUGCACCCUUGCUGUGAGUCCAUUCACCCGAAAGAGGAAGACCUAGGAACAGACUUGUACGCCACUAUGGAGGUACACCAUAGUGCUCCUCUCCCGCACAACUUCCUUGUGCUUGUGGUUGACUCCACACGUUUCACUGGUGUUCAUGAAGGCAUGCACCUGUCCCAGCAGUACCAUAUCCAGCUCCUCCUUCUCAAGCUCGGAACAGUCUCGUCGAGAAUCUGUCACUUGCAUCUCGCUGAAUUUUGACACACAAGCUCUACCGCAGUACAUGGCACUCGACGAUGCUGAGGUGCGUGUGGAGGAGUUGUAGGGCCAUCUGAGUCCAAACUACUGCCAUCUACAUUGAAUAAGAGGUGAUGGUGGCGUGGGACUGUCGGGGGGUGAUGGUGACAUGGGACUGUAUGAGCCAAAGGAGCCAAAAGAAACAUCUGAAGAGAAGAUAAUAGUUUAGAUAGGUCUAUGUAAAUGUAUUAGUAUAGGUAGCUGUUU